AUUUUCGCAGAGGUGUUGGGCGCUGCUUCUCUCCUGCUGCACAUGAGGUGGUGCGGCCUCCUGCCCUUCUUCCUCCCUCCCACUCCCCGUCAGGAAAAAAAGUUGUGAACUCAAACUCCCAGAGCCCAGGGCAAGUUCUGUGGAAGAAUGCAGCCGUUUUGGCCCGGAUGCAGGCCCUCUUUGGUGUUGGAGUGACUCAAAACCAGACUUUUGGGUUUUUUUUUGCGGGGGGGGGGGGGGGGGGGGCGUGAAGAAUCUUAAUGUGUAUCAGGGGCCAGAGAAGGAAGCGGAAUGAGUUUGAAAUCAUGCAUGUUUGGAAGCUGCGAGACAGGUGUGGAGUCUUCUGUCUCCUUUUUCUUCCUCCAGACUUCUAGAACUCUAGUCCUAACAAGAGGAGCCUGAGGGAAGAAGUUUGCACUACUUAAAGCCUUAAAGUCUUGGCCAGAUGGCAUGCAGCCUCAAUUGCCUCAUCCAGAACAUUCUCAGACUUACUGACCUACAAGAGUGGCAGGCAGUGUUCUCUCCCCUGAGCCUUCAACACAUGGUUGCUUACAGGGUACCUGGAAGGUGAAGGUAAGCCUUGAUGAUGGAGGCUUUAGCCAUAUCAGAGGCUCAAAUAUUCUGACUUCCUAGAGGCUAUCCUUACUUUUCCUUUCCCCUUCACACUCCAAGGAGCAUCACUGAGGUAGCAUUUUCUCUUAUCCUGGGGAGACAGGAUAUUAUUUCUUUUUCACCCCUAACUUUCCUAUAUCUCUGUCUUUAAUGCAGGGCUUGUCCUUCCACUAGUACAGAUAUAGGACACUCCACAUCCUGCCCUUCCCACGCACAAAAUGUCAAACCUACCCUUGACAUUUCUUUGUCAUUUGCUUGCUCUGGAAGCAACUCUCUUAGAAUCAACAAGGUAUAAUGAUGGAUUAAAAAUGAGCCAGGAAUCAUUUGACAUUUUUCUCAUUGUGAAGAGAUCUCCAAUUCUGCCUCUUGAAUCUGGGAUGUUCUUAAUGGUUUGCUUGACCAGUAGAUUAUGGCAGAAGUAAUACUCUGUGAUUUCUGAAGCUAGGUUAUAAGAAGCCUAUAGCUUCUGCCUAGUUGUCUUGGAACACUCAAUCUUGGGAUGCUCCACAUGGGAACCGAACCACCAUUAAAAAAAAAAAAAGCCAAAACCCCCCUGGAGUUGUAUGUGAGUGUUGUCAAAUGCACCAGUUGAGGUAAUCAACCACUGGCAUUAAAUGCCAUCCAUAUAAGUUAGCCAUAGUGAGUGUCCCAGAUUAUAUGAAACUACACAUUGAAGAAGCUCAAUGAACUCUAAGGUAGAUAAUCUCAGAGGUCCAUGCUGAGACACAGUAUAAUUGUUGGAAUACAAAGAGAAUAUCUUGAAAGCAGUGAGAGGAGAGACUUGUCACAGACAAGGGAUCGCCAAUAAAAUUAAUAGCUGAUUUCUCAUGAGAAACCCAUCUGGCCCAGAAGGCAAUGGGAUAAAAAAUUAAAGUGCUGGGGGGAAAAAGCACUUUCAACCAAGUCUCUGUUGGCAAAACUGCCCUUCAAAAAUGAAGGAAAAACUAAGAUAAACAAAAGGCAAGAGAAUUGGCCUCUACUAGACCUCCCUGCAAGAAAUGCUAAAGGGAGUUCUAAAGGCUGAAAUAAAAGGACAUGAGACAGUAAUUCCAAGUCAUACAAAGAAACAGAUUACCAACAAAGGUAACUGCACAGGUGUAUAUAUGAAAGCUAGUGUUACUGUAUUUCUAAUUUAUCUCAUUUUGUUUCCUACAUGAUUAAGAAGACAAAUGCAUAAAACAAUAAUUUGAAACCUGUGUCAAUGGGCACAUAAUGUAUAACGAUGUAAUUUGUGAAAUUUCAACAAAAAUUUGGGAUGGAGUUGGACAGGAACAGAGGUACUGUGUUAUUGAACUAAUUUGGUAUCAAUUCAAUGUAGAUUGGUAUAAGUUAAGAGUGUUAACUGUAAUACCCAUAGUAACCCCUAAGAAAAUAAAGAAUAUACUAAAAAGAAAUAAAGAGGAAUAAAAAUGGUACACUAGAAAAAAAAAGUAUUAGGAGAGUUGAGGAACAAACAGCAGAAUGAAUCCUGCAUUAUCAGUAAUCAUUUUAAAUGUAAAUGAACUAAACUUACGAAUUAAAAAACAGGAAUCAUAGUGGGUUAAAAAAA
This is a long non-coding RNA of Leopardus geoffroyi (Geoffroy's cat), 2161 nucleotides long. RefSeq lists it as uncharacterized. NCBI's taxonomy places the organism in Eukaryota, Metazoa, Chordata, Mammalia, Carnivora, Felidae. The record is from RefSeq and is a predicted model, not a curated record. The transcript has 2 exons.